GCUACUACCGAUUGAAUGGUUUAGUGAGAUCAUCGGACCGGCCCCGGCACAGCUUUUAAAAGAGUAUAGCCGUGGAUAGCCGGGAAGACGAUCGAACUUGAUCAUUUAGAGGAAGUAAAAGUCGUAACAAGGUUUCCGUAGGUG
This 144-nucleotide ribosomal RNA is filed under the name Lepidonotopodium jouinae. RNAcentral describes it as "partial small subunit ribosomal RNA". It matches the Rfam family "Eukaryotic small subunit ribosomal RNA", at positions 1678 to 1811 of the family's 1831-position model. The record is from RNAcentral. Lineage: Eukaryota; Metazoa; Annelida; Polychaeta; Phyllodocida; Polynoidae.